This 440-nucleotide ribosomal RNA is filed under the name uncultured bacterium. RNAcentral's name for it is "partial 16S ribosomal RNA". It matches the Rfam family "Bacterial small subunit ribosomal RNA", at positions 338 to 795 of the family's 1533-position model. The record is from RNAcentral.
CCUACGGGAGGCAGCAGUGGGGGAUAUUGCACAAUGGGGGAAACCCUGAUGCAGCGACGCCGCGUGAGUGAAGAAGUAUUUCGUUACGUAAAGCUCUAUCAGCAGGGAAGAAAAUGACCGUUCCUUAGUAAGAAGCCCCCGCUAACUACGGGCCCGCAGCCGCGGGAAUACGGAGGGGGCAAGCGGUAUCCGGGUUUACUGGGUGGAAAGGGAGCGUAGACGGCAGUGCAAGUCUGGAGUGAAAGGCCGGGGCUCAACCCCCGGACUGCUCUGGAAACUGUGCGGCUGGAGUGCAGGAGGGGCAAGUGGAAUUCCUAGUGUAGCGGUGAAAUGCGUAGAUAUUAGGAGGAACACCAGUGGCGAAGGCGGCCUACUGGACUGUAACUGACGUUGAGGCCCGAAAGCGUGGGGAGCAAACAGGAUUAGAUACCCUAGUAGUC